GUUCCCUUAGCUCAGGGGCAGAGCGGGUGACUCCAGUCGGGCGACUCGCCCAGCGAAAUCAUCAGGUCAAGCGUUCAAAUCGCUUAGGGGACU
This is a non-coding RNA of Rhodotorula diobovata, 93 nucleotides long. Lineage: Eukaryota; Fungi; Basidiomycota; Microbotryomycetes; Sporidiobolales; Sporidiobolaceae. The record is from the annotation of a GenBank genome assembly.